RNAcentral lists this ribosomal RNA (421 nucleotides) under Clostridioides difficile. RNAcentral's name for it is "bacterial SSU rRNA". It matches the Rfam family "Bacterial small subunit ribosomal RNA", at positions 1 to 431 of the family's 1533-position model. The record is from RNAcentral. Lineage: Bacteria; Bacillati; Bacillota; Clostridia; Peptostreptococcales; Peptostreptococcaceae.
UUAUUUGAGAGUUUGAUCCUGGCUCAGGAUGAACGCUGGCGGCGUGCCUAACACAUGCAAGUUGAGCGAUUUACUUCGGUAAAGAGCGGCGGACGGGUGAGUAACGCGUGGGUAACCUACCCUGUACACACGGAUAACAUACCGAAAGGUAUGCUAAUACGGGAUAAUAUAUUUGAGAGGCAUCUCUUGAAUAUCAAAGGUGAGCCAGUACAGGAUGGACCCGCGUCUGAUUAGCUAGUUGGUAAGGUAACGGCUUACCAAGGCGACGAUCAGUAGCCGACCUGAGAGGGUGAUCGGCCACAUUGGAACUGAGACACGGUCCAAACUCCUACGGGAGGCAGCAGUGGGGAAUAUUGCACAAUGGGCGAAAGCCUGAUGCAGCAACGCCGCGUGAGUGAUGAAGGCCUUCGGGUCGUAAAAC